GGUCUGGGUGACUGGUCUGCGUCUACCGCAUGUACUGGAAACCCGGAUCUUUCCUUCUGGAGAACCGCAUGCACUUUACUGGGUGUGCCGGGGAACCAGGACUUUUACUUUGAAAAAAUUAGAGUGUUUAAAGCAGGCUUACGCUUGAAUACAUUAGCAUGGAAUAAUAGAAUAGGACUU
RNAcentral lists this ribosomal RNA (180 nucleotides) under uncultured Glomeromycotina. RNAcentral describes it as "partial small subunit ribosomal RNA". The stretch from base 91 to 180 matches the Rfam family "Eukaryotic small subunit ribosomal RNA", at positions 738 to 830 of the family's 1831-position model. The record is from RNAcentral. Lineage: Eukaryota; Fungi; Glomeromycota.